RNAcentral lists this ribosomal RNA (254 nucleotides) under uncultured bacterium. RNAcentral describes it as "partial 16S ribosomal RNA". It matches the Rfam family "Bacterial small subunit ribosomal RNA", at positions 524 to 776 of the family's 1533-position model. The record is from RNAcentral.
UACGUAGGGAGCAAGCGUUGUCCGGAAUUAUUGGGCGUAAAGAGCUCGUAGGCGGCUUGUCGCGUCGACUGUGAAAACCCGUGGCUCAACCAUGUGGUCUGCAGUCGAUACGGGCAGACUAGAGUGCGGUAGGGGAGACUGGAAUUCCUGGUGUAGCGGUGGAAUGCGCAGAUAUCAGGAGGAACACCGAUGGCGAAGGCAGUGUUCUGGGCCAGUACUGACGCUGAGGAGCGAAAGCGUGGGGAGCAAACAGG